AUGCCCUCCAUUGAUAAUUUUUACAAAGCUAAAAAUUACUUAAAUGCACGGGUUCAAGUCAAUCCCUGAAUUCAAUAAUUCGUUUAGUUUGUACGUAAUACAAUUAAAAAAUAAAACGCUACCUAACUAAAAGUAGUAUAUGUAAACAAUUUGAAUAUACGGUAUUACGCACGGUUAAAUCAUACAUAUAUUGUUUGGUAAAAUAAUCUUAUCUAAAUAAAUAUUUGUAACUGAAUACCUAUAUGUAAAUAUAAUUACUGUACGUCUUUACGUAGGUAUAAUAUAUUAAAAUUUACCUAUUACUAAUUCAACUUUUACACUAAUUUAAUUUGAUAGUUGUUUAAUGUCUAAACCUAAUACCAUACCUAACUAUAUUUAUAAUACCAAAACCAGUUGAUAGUUGUAAAAAUAUUAUAAAUAUUCGUUGUUAUUUUAAACAUCUUAUCAUUACAGACGCAUUCUUAGUUAUAGAAGCAGUUACUCAUGUUGGUGGAGGUGUAUAUCAAGAAACUAAUAAGAAGGGAUCAAAACUCGCUAGUUACAAUUAUGUGAUCCGUUAUAAAGAAAGUGGACAAACUCAAACUAUCAUGGAUUGGUGUGAUAAUCAAUAGACAAAAAAAAUUCAUAAAAAAAAUUAAUUUUUAUUAUAUACUCGCCCUUUUAAAAUUAUGAUGGUUUAAUGUAAG
Acyrthosiphon pisum (pea aphid) is the source of this 686-nucleotide long non-coding RNA. RefSeq lists it as uncharacterized. The transcript is spliced from 4 exons. NCBI's taxonomy places the organism in Eukaryota, Metazoa, Arthropoda, Insecta, Hemiptera, Aphididae. The record is from RefSeq and is a predicted model, not a curated record.